Molecule: ribosomal RNA, 690 nt
Filed under: Bacillus subtilis
Lineage: Bacteria; Bacillati; Bacillota; Bacilli; Caryophanales; Bacillaceae
Description: bacterial SSU rRNA
Rfam family: Bacterial small subunit ribosomal RNA
Source: RNAcentral
GGAUGUUAGCGGCGGACGGGUGAGUAACACGUGGGUAACCUGCCUGUAAGACUGGGAUAACUCCGGGAAACCGGGGCUAAUACCGGAUGCUUGUUUGAACCGCAUGGUUCAAACAUAAAAGGUGGCUUCGGCUACCACUUACAGAUGGACCCGCGGCGCAUUAGCUAGUUGGUGAGGUAACGGCUCACCAAGGCAACGAUGCGUAGCCGACCUGAGAGGGUGAUCGGCCACACUGGGACUGAGACACGGCCCAGACUCCUACGGGAGGCAGCAGUAGGGAAUCUUCCGCAAUGGACGAAAGUCUGACGGAGCAACGCCGCGUGAGUGAUGAAGGUUUUCGGAUCGUAAAGCUCUGUUGUUAGGGAAGAACAAGUACCGUUCGAAUAGGGCGGUACCUUGACGGUACCUAACCAGAAAGCCACGGCUAACUACGUGCCAGCAGCCGCGGUAAUACGUAGGUGGCAAGCGUUGUCCGGAAUUAUUGGGCGUAAAGGGCUCGCAGGCGGUUUCUUAAGUCUGAUGUGAAAGCCCCCGGCUCAACCGGGGAGGGUCAUUGGAAACUGGGGAACUUGAGUGCAGAAGAGGAGAGUGGAAUUCCACGUGUAGCGGUGAAAUGCGUAGAGAUGUGGAGGAACACCAGUGGCGAAGGCGACUCUCUGGUCUGUAACUGACGCUGAGGAGCGAAAGCGU